RNAcentral lists this ribosomal RNA (467 nucleotides) under uncultured bacterium. Its description in RNAcentral is "partial 16S ribosomal RNA". It matches the Rfam family "Bacterial small subunit ribosomal RNA", at positions 29 to 507 of the family's 1533-position model. The record is from RNAcentral.
ACGAACGCUGGCGGCGUGCUUCACACAUGCAAGUCGCACGGAAAGGCCCUGCUUUUGUGGGGUGCUCGAGUGGCGAACGGGUGAGUAACACGUGAGUAACCUGCCCUUGACUUUGGGAUAACUUCAGGAAGCUGGGGCUAAUACCGGAUAGGAGCUCCUGCUGCAUGGUGGGGGUUGGAAAGUUUCGGCGGUUGGGGAUGGACUCGCGGCUUAUCAGCUUGUUGGUGGGGUAGUGGCUUACCAAGGCUUUGACGGGUAGCCGGCCUGAGAGGGUGACCGGCCACAUUGGGACUGAGAUACGGCCCAGACUCCUACGGGAGGCAGCAGUGGGGAAUAUUGCACAAUGGGCGGAAGCCUGAUGCAGCAACGCCGCGUGCGGGAUGACGGCCUUCGGGUUGUAAACCGCUUUCGCCUGUGACGAAGCGUGAGUGACGGUAAUGGGUAAAGAAGCACCGGCUAACUACGUG